UCUCGUGUCACCAGUUCAAAUCUGGUUCCUG
RNAcentral lists this transfer RNA (31 nucleotides) under Erica anguliger. RNAcentral's name for it is "partial tRNA-Phe". RNAcentral also lists the same sequence under 4 other names. Lineage: Eukaryota; Viridiplantae; Streptophyta; Magnoliopsida; Ericales; Ericaceae. The record is from RNAcentral.